UAAUGUAAAAAGGGGAGCUUGCGGUAAAGCAGGCUGAGAGUAAGCUGUAUGCUUAGACCCGGAACCUGAUUUGGAUAAUGCCAACGUAGGGACAUAUUUGCGGAAAAUAU
Molecule: non-coding RNA, 110 nt
Filed under: Lachnoclostridium sp. An169
Lineage: Bacteria; Bacillati; Bacillota; Clostridia; Lachnospirales; Lachnospiraceae
Also listed under: 1 other name
Description: TPP riboswitch aptamer (THI element)
Rfam family: TPP riboswitch aptamer (THI element)
About the family: Vitamin B(1) in its active form thiamin pyrophosphate (TPP) is an essential coenzyme that is synthesised by coupling of pyrimidine and thiazole moieties in bacteria. The previously detected thiamin-regulatory element, thi box was extended, resulting in a new, highly conserved RNA secondary structure, the THI element, which is widely distributed in eubacteria and also occurs in some archaea.
Source: Rfam by way of RNAcentral